GCCCCCAUGGUGUAGCGGUUAGCACGCCAGGUUUUCAUCCUGGUAGCAGCGGUUCGAUUCCGCUUGGGGGUAC
RNAcentral lists this transfer RNA (73 nucleotides) under uncultured Conexibacteraceae bacterium. Its description in RNAcentral is "tRNA-Glu". It matches the Rfam family "tRNA". From Rfam's summary of the family: Transfer RNA (tRNA) molecules are approximately 80 nucleotides in length. Their secondary structure includes four short double-helical elements and three loops (D, anti-codon, and T loops). Lineage: Bacteria; Bacillati; Actinomycetota; Thermoleophilia; Solirubrobacterales; Conexibacteraceae. The record is from RNAcentral.